Molecule: non-coding RNA, 398 nt
Organism: Poecilia reticulata (guppy)
Lineage: Eukaryota; Metazoa; Chordata; Actinopteri; Cyprinodontiformes; Poeciliidae
Source: RefSeq, a predicted model, not a curated record
CGGAAGUGCUUUUGUGUUUCUGCGGGCCUACUCCGCCUUUUCAAACCUCCAGUUUGUCGCGUCAGAUGGCCGCUCACACAGAGCCAGAUCGCCCCGGAUGUUCUGGAAGAGGAGUUGGAAUCCACUCCGCCGCCUCAUGCUCAGGAUGAACAUACAAGCCUGGGAUUGCUGCAAAGAGCGGAGCCAGAGUCUGUUUUCCAUAAUCAGGUCAGACACAAACACCCACAUCACAGCGCUCCUGCCCCCAACAUCCAACUCAGCACGCUUCAGGUGGAGCUCGGCGUGGAGGUCUGCUCACUGAAUUAAGCGACGACAGACGUAACCCAGCUCUACGUUGACUUUCCAGAGGUGCUUACUUCACCUUUGUGGCCGCGCUUCCGAGUUCUAUUCAGAGGUUC